This 402-nucleotide transfer-messenger RNA is filed under the name chicken gut metagenome. It matches the Rfam family "transfer-messenger RNA". From Rfam's summary of the family: Bacterial tmRNA, also known as 10Sa RNA or SsrA, is named for its dual tRNA and mRNA-like properties. The record is from RNAcentral.
GGGGACGUUUUGGAUUAGACAGGAUGUUUGGUUGAAACAGGCGGCGAGUCCGGGUGCUGUUCCCGGUAAUCAACAAGCAAAACAAAUUAAAUGCUAAAAAAUUAGAUAACGUAGUUGUAGGCAACUUCGCACCUGCAUACGCAGUAGCUGCAUAGUCUAUAACGAUUAGCUGCUCAUAUUGCCCAGCUUGCCGGUGAUAUGGGCCCAUGAUGCAAGCGGCAGUACGUUGAUGACGGUAGGCGUAUCAAGAUAACCGUUAAAGGUUAGUGUUUCCGUAAAAAACACUCUGGAUUAUUUAAAAGGUUCUGAUAUUCCCUGAAUAUUCCGAGAAAAUUAAUAUCUACACCCGUAGAAGUUUGUUUAGAUCCAUUUUGGACAGGGGUUCGACUCCCCUCGUCUCCA